UUGUCUCAAAGAUUAAGCCAUGCAUGUCUCAGUACAAGCCAAAUUAAGGUGAAACCGCGAAAGGCUCAUUAAAUCAGUUAUGGUUCCUUAGAUCGUACCCACAUUUACUUGGAUAACUGUGGUAAUUCUAGAGCUAAUACAUGCAAACAGAGCUCCGACCGGAGACGGAAGGAGCGCUUUUAUUAGAUCAAAACCAAUCGGUGGCGGUUCCCGUCAUCGUACAACUUGGUGACUCUGAAUAACUUUACGCUGAUCGCACGGUCUUGCACCGGCGACGCAUCUUUCAAAUGUCUGCCUUAUCAACUGUCGAUGGUAGGUUCUGCGCCUACUAUGGUUGUAACGGGUAACGGGGAAUCAGGGUUCGAUUCCGGAGAGGGAGCCUGAGAAACGGCUACCACAUCCAAGGAAGGCAGCAGGCGCGCAAAUUACCCACUCCCGGCACGGGGAGGUAGUGACGAAAAAUAACGAUACGGGACUCAUCCGAGGCCCCGUAAUCGGAAUGAGUACACUCUAAAUCCUUUAACGAGGAUCAAUUGGAGGGCAAGUCUGGUGCCAGCAGCCGCGGUAAUUCCAGCUUCAAUAGCGUAUAUUAAAGUUGUUGCGGUUAAAAAGCUCGUAGUCGAAUCUGUGUCCCGCGCCGCCGGUUCAUCGUUCGCGGUGUUAACUGGCGUGCCGCGGGACGUCCUGCCGGUGGGCUUAGCUCGCGAGGGCGGCCCAACUCAAUCCCGCCGCGGUGCUCUUCAUUGAGUGUCGAGGUGGGCCGGCACGUUUACUUUGAACAAAUUAAAGUGCUUAAAGCAGGCUAAAACUUCGCCUGAAUACGUGUGCAUGGAAUAAUGGAAUAGGACCUCGGUUCUAUUUUGUUGGUUUUCGGAACCCCGAGGUAAUGAUUAAUAGGAACGGAUGGGGGCAUUCGUAUUGCGACGUUAGAGGUGAAAUUCUUGGAUCGUCGCAAGACGGACAGAAGCGAAAGCAUUUGCCAAAAACGUUUUCAUUGAUCAAGAACGAAAGUUAGAGGUUCGAAGGCGAUCAGAUACCGCCCUAGUUCUAACCAUAAACGAUGCCAGCUAGCGAUCCGCCGACGUUCCUCCGAUGACUCGGCGGGCAGCUUCCGGGAAACCAAAGCUUUUGGGUUCCGGGGGAAGUAUGGUUGCAAAGCUGAAACUUAAAGGAAUUGACGGAAGGGCACCACCAGGAGUGGAGCCUGCGGCUUAAUU
This 1217-nucleotide ribosomal RNA is filed under the name Adesmia boyeri. Its description in RNAcentral is "SSU rRNA". It matches the Rfam family "Eukaryotic small subunit ribosomal RNA", at positions 32 to 1195 of the family's 1831-position model. The record is from RNAcentral. Lineage: Eukaryota; Metazoa; Arthropoda; Insecta; Coleoptera; Tenebrionidae.